RNAcentral lists this ribosomal RNA (1258 nucleotides) under Bacillus altitudinis. RNAcentral's name for it is "bacterial SSU rRNA". It matches the Rfam family "Bacterial small subunit ribosomal RNA", at positions 95 to 1340 of the family's 1533-position model. Lineage: Bacteria; Bacillati; Bacillota; Bacilli; Caryophanales; Bacillaceae. The record is from RNAcentral.
GCGGCGGACGGGUGAGUAACACGUGGGUAACCUGCCUGUAAGACUGGGAUAACUCCGGGAAACCGGAGCUAAUACCGGAUAGUUCCUUGAACCGCAUGGUUCAAGGAUGAAAGACGGUUUCGGCUGUCACUUACAGAUGGACCCGCGGCGCAUUAGCUAGUUGGUGAGGUAACGGCUCACCAAGGCGACGAUGCGUAGCCGACCUGAGAGGGUGAUCGGCCACACUGGGACUGAGACACGGCCCAGACUCCUACGGGAGGCAGCAGUAGGGAAUCUUCCGCAAUGGACGAAAGUCUGACGGAGCAACGCCGCGUGAGUGAUGAAGGUUUUCGGAUCGUAAAGCUCUGUUGUUAGGGAAGAACAAGUGCAAGAGUAACUGCUUGCACCUUGACGGUACCUAACCAGAAAGCCACGGCUAACUACGUGCCAGCAGCCGCGGUAAUACGUAGGUGGCAAGCGUUGUCCGGAAUUAUUGGGCGUAAAGGGCUCGCAGGCGGUUUCUUAAGUCUGAUGUGAAAGCCCCCGGCUCAACCGGGGAGGGUCAUUGGAAACUGGGAAACUUGAGUGCAGAAGAGGAGAGUGGAAUUCCACGUGUAGCGGUGAAAUGCGUAGAGAUGUGGAGGAACACCAGUGGCGAAGGCGACUCUCUGGUCUGUAACUGACGCUGAGGAGCGAAAGCGUGGGGAGCGAACAGGAUUAGAUACCCUGGUAGUCCACGCCGUAAACGAUGAGUGCUAAGUGUUAGGGGGUUUCCGCCCCUUAGUGCUGCAGCUAACGCAUUAAGCACUCCGCCUGGGGAGUACGGUCGCAAGACUGAAACUCAAAGGAAUUGACGGGGGCCCGCACAAGCGGUGGAGCAUGUGGUUUAAUUCGAAGCAACGCGAAGAACCUUACCAGGUCUUGACAUCCUCUGACAACCCUAGAGAUAGGGCUUUCCCUUCGGGGACAGAGUGACAGGUGGUGCAUGGUUGUCGUCAGCUCGUGUCGUGAGAUGUUGGGUUAAGUCCCGCAACGAGCGCAACCCUUGAUCUUAGUUGCCAGCAUUCAGUUGGGCACUCUAAGGUGACUGCCGGUGACAAACCGGAGGAAGGUGGGGAUGACGUCAAAUCAUCAUGCCCCUUAUGACCUGGGCUACACACGUGCUACAAUGGACAGAACAAAGGGCUGCGAGACCGCAAGGUUUAGCCAAUCCCACAAAUCUGUUCUCAGUUCGGAUCGCAGUCUGCAACUCGACUGCGUGAAGCUGGAAUCGCUAGUA